Molecule: long non-coding RNA, 264 nt
Organism: Exaiptasia diaphana
Lineage: Eukaryota; Metazoa; Cnidaria; Anthozoa; Actiniaria; Aiptasiidae
Exons: 3
Source: RefSeq, a predicted model, not a curated record
UUGACAAGAUCCCAAAAAAAUAAUUCUUAUCAUGCUCACAUAGGACAAGCUUCCACUGCAAGAUUUCUUUUAGAUAAAACCAGCAGCAAAUGCAACCUUGUUUAUCAUGGAAAUGAUGUUUUUGUUUCCAGUCUUGUCCAGAUUGAAUUAAUUUGCAGUACUGAUGAAGGCAGGCUUGAGGAAUUUACCAGUACUGAUCAUGUAACAAAUGAUGACUUGAAUAGUUAUCAAUCUAGGCUCUAUUCUAAGUACGCUUGUCCAAUU